GAGCAGCAGAGCAGGAAACCCACAAUGGUGGUGGGCCUGGUGCUAAUCGCUCGCAGUGGCAGGUGAAGCCGACGACGCUUGAGGUGGGGGGUUGCAUACAAGGCAUGCCAGGUUUGGGCUGUUUCCUAUGCUUUCUGGGGCCCCUUCUUGUUACCCCCAACACCGAGUCUGGGGGGGAAUUACUGACUAGGCAGCGCAUUGCUACCUUUGAAGUUAAACAAUUUAUCUCCCAUCGCCAGCAAUGCUUUUGCACUAUUUCAAGGCUCACAAGGAUCUCUGAGCUGCUCAGAUUCUCCUCAUUAGCCAGAGAAAAUAUUGGAAGGACCAGGCCUGCCCGCCAAACACGGGCCCUAGGAAGAGGAAGGGAUACUCCUGAAGCCACAUGCUCAGCAAGUGGAAGAAGCCAGAGCAAGCACUGGCUCCUCUACCCCAGCACCAUUUGAUCUCCCCAGAUUUCAACUGUGAGCCACGAUGUUGAGCUGUGAGCAGUAAAUUCACUUACUAAGGAGAGCCAUCUUAGUGGGCCAUCUUAGAAACUCAUUCCACAGAAGCAUGCUGCCUCCUUGGGAGGCUUGCCCGCUGGGGGAUCCCUCUCAAAGUCUCUGCCCAUCUGAGUGGCCACCCCCGAAAGAGAUCAUUCAAGUCACUUCUGCGGUGUUGACAACCUUGCAAGUUCAUCCGCUCUGCCUCUGAGCGCUCCUUUCCCAUUGCUGGUGUCCCAUGUGCUACAGUAGGCAAUGCUCCACAUUUCAGCUCCAGCUGGUCAAUUGUUCUGUCCUCGGGAGCAGCGACAUCUGUUUACUUCAUUCUCAGCAGCCAGAAGGUCAUGUUUACUGCUGGGUCAUUUCCAGUAGCCAGAGGGUCAAAGCCAAGUGGCAAAGAACUACCAACAUUUACCUCAAAUUUUUCUUUCAUUGUUUCAGUUUUCUUUUAACUUUGAGUGCAUGUGUGCUUUGCCUGUGUAUCUCUGUACCAUGUGCAUUCCUGAUGCCCAAGGAGACCAGAAGAGGGCCACAGACCCACUGGAACUGGAGUGACAGUGCUCGGGUCCUCGCCAUGGAGUUUCUACUUCGGCGUACCGCUUUCCCAAUACCUAGCUCACCUGGAUCCCCAUCUGUAAAACUACUGCUCUACUUCCCCCUCCUUCAGUUUUCAUGCCUUACACUGCAGACAGCUGUGACGGGCCUCCACGAUACCAUGGAACGAUGCCUGGCCACAGGAUUCACAUUAACAAGGUACACCUGAGCAAUUUCAAGGCAGCUUCCUAGACUAUAUUUUGUCUCAAAGCACUGUAGACGCAACAUGUGUAUCUGGAGUCAUUCUACCUUGGUCCCUAUCUCGGAAAUUCAACUGCUUCGGCAAGAACUUCGUUUUUUGACUGGCUGACGUCUAGAGCAAUCCUGACUUCAUCCUAACUUUGUGCUCAGCUCUACUUCAGGGUGCAUGGCCUUGACUUUGUUUUGGGUUAGGAAGAAUUUAAGAAGUUGGGCUCAAGUUCCUCCCUUUCUCCCAUGCACUCUGAGUCACUGAUUUAUCUCAUCCUGUCUCCAGUCCUGUAAAACCACCAGUUCUCCUUGCCUGAAGUAUUUAAGAGGCCAGCCUGGUCCAGCACUUUGCUCCCCAACCCAGCGGGAGAAUGGUCACAGACCCCAGGCUUGAAUUAUCGGUUGCUUCAUCUUUAUCUGAUGAGGUUUCAAUCUCCUGGCUUGUCAAACAAGGAAAGUGUCCUUACAGAGGGUCUCUAAGAAUUGACAUGGAUAUAGACUCUGAAUCACAGAGUAUCACAUAGCAUUGUGUGAUGAACACUUGCUACUUUCCUAAGGAUGGACAUUAAUUAGACAAACUGGACACUUGCUGCCAGCUACUGCCUGGCCAAUUAUCACUUACUGCCGAUUCUUCCCGCAUGCAAACACACACAUGCCUACCAAACUCCCCAUCUGAGUCCCCCUCCUCUGCUUUCUCCCACUGAGUCUUUGUAUGUCUGUCUGUCCUGACUCUUGACAGGUCUUGUGCUAGGGUUCAUUUGUUACCAAUUAUUGAGAACUGGCUCUUGACACCUCUUCGCAGUGACCAGUAGCUAUCAUAUUGGGAGCUUGAGAGCAGCCACAGUGGGGGGUCAUAUGCAAUACAAAAUGAAAAUAAAGACAAAAGCAAGAAAUUCCCACCCCCACUGUGAAUUAGCCACUUGCCCCUCAAGAGCAGUGUGUUUACAUUUACAGGAUCACAGGUGCAGAUAGAUAUUUGACAGUUUUCUGUCUUAUUCGGGCUUGAUCAUGGGGCCUGAACUUGCAACUCCAAUCAAGAGGAGGCCUCAGAACUUACAAACACAGACUAGUCCUGCAAUUCAGUGGAAAUAAUGCUAAAUCCUCAUCAAGAUCUGCAGAGCAACCCUCGGUUUGAGAAUGGAACUAGGAAUUGGGUUGCCACUAAGUGCUAGAGCAUUAUGUCUAGCAUCUGUGGAGUCCUGAGUUCAAUCCCCCAGCACUGAAAAAAGAAACGGAAACAUCACAACAGAAGACCAAAAGGCUAAUGAAUGUACAUUAACGUCAGGAUUAACCCCACAACUAAUAAGAUCAAGGCAACACAACCCAAAUGCUUCCUCCCACUGACUCUUCCUCCUGGGGAUGCAUUCUCCAGGGCCAGGUCGUCCCUUAAGCACUGAUGGAAAUCUCCAUCAAAAAGCUCUCGGUGACCGCGUGUUCCAUCCAUUCCAGGAAUGCCUCGGCUCAGCCUUGGAAAAAGCUCCUGCAGUAAAAGCUGUAUGGAAGUAGGCAAAUCCUUUGCAGAUGAAAAGGAAGCCCUGCCUUUCCUUCUCGGUUGGGAGAGCUCCAAACAACACACAUGUGCUAAGGUACAAGCACCGUGGGAGCGCAAACCUCGGCUUAAUUUGCGGCUCCUGGAGGAGACUGGAGGGAGAGCAGGGGCCUCUCCUCUGUGGUGUUCAGGAAAGGCUCACUGGACUGAGGACCGUGGUGGGAGUGUUCAAGAGGCCACACUUAGUGCCAGUGCCAGGCCACACUUACUAGCCAGUCCUCCCGGAGAAAAACUUUAUUAAAGAAAUCAAUAGGUGUGCUACCUGUGAGUGGUGGGACGGUGGGAAUGACAUCCUGGAAAGCAGCUGCGUCUGCCUGGAAACCUACAACUCCUGGAAGGCGUUUCUGUGUCUGCAGAGACUGAUGACCCAAUAGGAAUUUCAGUACUGUGAAGAGGUUGGAAUUUUGUACGUUCAGAGGCUAAUGACUCUAUCUUGGGCUAGUUUUAACCUUCUGGAACAGCUGCUCCCUGGCUCACCUUGUAUCUGACCUAACACCUCAUGAUAAUAAAGAAAAACCUCUUAGAAGCUAUUGAUUCAGCAGAACUCUAGCUUCUGCCACUCAGAGAGCUAAGAAUGUCAUCAGGUAGCAUCUUGGGGUUAGAAAACAGCUUCCCCAUCUUGCUGUCCCCACCUAUGGUGUACCCACCAAUGUAUUUUAAAUGUGCCUUGACUCAGGACUGUCUUUGUUCUAUAAAUCUGAGAACCCUCUGUAACAGCUUCCACAAUGGAACACAGAAUUUGGGUAACCGAAAUCUGUGUUCCACGCCAUGGUUACUCAAAAUGGUUCCAGAAUAAACUGUCUCUUAUUCCUUUUAGAUGAGAGCUGUGGUCUGUCAGCAGCAGGAAGCGGGGUGGGUCUCCUCCCCAGGAAACAUUCUGCUGGGUUUUGAGAGCUGACAGUUCUCUGCUGUCGUGGAACCCUGCCCGUCUGUCAUGGGGUUCAUGAGUCUUCUCUGAGAAGCUGUUUUUUUUUUUUUUCCUGUCUGUACUUGAAAGAUUUCCCCACAGCCCAAUCCAUGAAAAUUCCUACCAGUUAAAUCUUAAAGCCCGUGUCUCCCCCCACUGGUUUCUCAAAUCCCACCUAUUCCCCUCUCUUUGUAACUGUAACUGCUGUGGAAUGCUGAACACUUUCUCCCCACCCAACUCCUCCCACAAACCCUGCCUGGACUUGCCAUCCCCAGUCCCGGCACGUGGGCAGCUUUCUCUUUGGGAGGGUUUUAUGACCAUCUCCUCAGAAGUAACGACAGAAAACCAGGACCCGGGAAAAGCACAGAAGUUCCAGGAUUCCCCUAGCUGUACCCUUACCUAGGUCUCUCGUUCAUACUGCACUGUGACCAGCAAGCUGUUCUUCCGAACUUGCUCCCUUUUUUCCCAGCCUCUCCUCCUGCUGUCAGGUACACUAUUGUGCUGAAGCAAGGCCGAGCGUGGGGAGUCAGAUUCCCACGGGCCCUCACAGCUUGCAAGUUCCACUUUAGUCCCUUAUUUUAGUGAUGGUGACCCCCCCCAUAUGACCUAGGCACUGAUGUGACUCUCAUCCUUUGGAAGAGGUGGGCCUGGCAUAACGACUGGGGUCAGGGGACUGGUCACAGCAUCUACACUUUUCUAGAAUUGUGUUUAUGAGAAAAGCCAACCUACACCCUCACUUCACCUACCCCCCAUUCCACCCUGGCAACAGCUUCUGGUCUUGGCAGAUGGCCUUCGUCCCCAGCCUUCCAGGGUCCAAGUACACACACCCAACUCUCCUCAUUUCUCUUCCCAACUAGUAAGAGAAGAUUUACUUCAGAAGCGGUUUGAUUCUUCCUUGCUGAAUAUCUGAAUCUAACAACAAUCGUCCAACAGCAGGAAAAAACACGAUUGUAUUGUACUUGCCAAUUUAAGCUUCGACUGCCUCACAUGGGUUUUUAUAAUCAGAUGGAUUUCUUACCCUCUGAAUCAGUUAUCUCCUGCCACAGGUGGGGGUCAGAAAACAGAGCAGACCAGACCACAGAAAGAACUGCCCAGGUCUGACUGUCCAGUGCUGAGCCUAUGUCUAUCAGCUGGCUGGAGGAGUCAUUUAUUCAUUCCCUACACACUUAAUUCAUUCCCUACAUUCAAUCACAUUUAUUUAUUCCCUGCACACUUAAUAAUAAUGUAACCUGAACUUCAGAUGAUACUAUGAGUCCGUUUUCAAUUAGACCAUGAGGCCUUUCAGAAAAACACUGAUCCCAGCCUGCUGCUGUCUAUCUCGUAAGGUUGGCAAGCUCAGCUCACGCCUGUUUGGCCCCCGAGUCUUCAUUGUAUAUGGCGAGUCGAGAGAAAAGUUCAAAGCCACCGAUCGACCUUCUUCUGUGUUCAAUUCAAGAAACGUAACAUGCACAAACCUACAAGAGGUAGCGGGGAGCUCAAAGAUGGAGAAGCUGAGGCUUCUUAGGAGGAAUCAGGCUCUGUCCUAGAUACGCUCAGAAGUGCAGAGAAACAGACACCGAGUCCUGCCCUCUAUAAAGCUUGUGGUCUGGUUUGUGCAGGGCAGACUCUGAGUAAGAGACAAGAGGAGACCAAGCUGGAGGGAUCCAUGUGCUCUGUGGACCAGAGAGCGCAGGGAAGUGGGUGAGUGCACUGGGAGAGGGGUGGGGACAGUGUCUUUGAAAAUGCAUUUAAAAGUAGGCUCUAGCGAGGAAAACAAGGCAUGCGGCGAUAUGAGCUCAUAGGAGCAGCAGAAACAGCGUGGACGAAGGCCCUGAGACCAGUACCCAUUGGUGUGUUCAAGAAGCAGAAGGUAAUCAAGAAUGACUGGAGUGGAGAGGGAACUGGGGAAAGCUUAAAGACACAGCGUGAGGUGGGACCCAUGAGCUGACUUACAGAACCGCUAGCAUCGGACUAAAAUAAAAGCGUGAAAGACAGAAGAAGCCAAGAGAAGCCCCAGAUGGACAACAACCACCACAAAAGCACAUGGAGGAAACUUGCAGUUGGUAAGGAAGACGGGGAAGAAGAAGGAAGGGUGGGAUGGAGAGAAAAGAAGAGAUGUGGUAGCUAUAGUCCUCUCUCUGACCCCCAAGCUGGACUUCACUCUCAUCCAGUAUCCAAAUCCUGGAGCCCAUUGCUAUAGGAGCUGUCUACAAGACCAGCAGAAGGAGACCCCUCACUAGCGUCAGAUUCCAGGGAGGUUCGUCUCAGCUGGGCCCCAGGACCCAGCAGAUUGUCAGGGCUACAGGGCGAAAGGAAAACCUCGGUCCUAUCGCAGAUUUCUCAGAUUGCCUAUCUUUGUCUUUGGAGGACAGCCCAUGACAAGCAUCAGGCAAGAGGUCCCAGGAGAAGGAGGGAGCAACUGACGACGUCAGCUCUGUUUGCAAAGGCUCACUCCAUAAGCCCAAGGGUUCACGGCCUUGCUUUGUACCAGACUCACCGUGGGCGUAGGGGUGGUGAGGAUACGGUCUGAAGGACAUGCGAGGAACAAUAUCUUCACGCUAGAAGCCAAUGUUCCUUCACUUUUUGUUCCUUCUCUUUAUUAAUCCCCUGGGUUUCUCAGGCAAGCUCAUAUUCAGUUCAACCCCAGCCUGCCCAUCCCACCUCCCUCCUACCUUGAAGAAUUUUGUGAAAAAAAAAAAGUAUGUUUGUGUAGCUUCUCCAAAUUUAGUCUCAAUGAGUGGCGCAGUUCAGCCCCUGCAAGCCUUCCGUGAGCGUCUGUUUGCUUUGCCGCACAAUGUCCAGAGAUCAGAGCAGACAAACUCCGGAUCAGCAAUGGACACUGGAUGGAGAAUUCCCUUGUUGUCACCAAGCAAGGAGUAAAGGAGAGAGACGCUGUCCUCCAGAGAGAGGCCUGAGAGCACCCGAUCGGCCGGGAGAUACGACCAUGAUGGAGAAUGAGAAAGGAAUAACGUCCAGAUGCCUCGCUUAACCCCUCUCUUUCUGCUGAGGCCCAACCAUGCAGAAGCAAGAUGAAGAGAUCUAAUAUAGAACAGACCUAAAGUCAAAAUUGACUCACCUCCUAAUUGGUUUACGAUCUUGCAUGACCUUCUCAGCCUUGGUGAGCAUCAGCGUCCUCUGAAGAGGGUUAGAAACAUCAACUCAAAAAUUGGAUGAGGAAGACACGAGGCACCCAGUAAAAGGCUGGUGCUCGGUGGGUAGCGGCUACUUUUAGUCUGUUGAGACACAUUGAAUGUUUUCUCUCCUCCCCCUCCCCCAGUACUACUGAAUUUUCUUAGGUUUAGUGGCCCUGGCAAGAUUUCUAAAAGCCCCGAGCAUGGAGAGGAAGCAGCUGAAGAUGAAGUCCGGGGCUGAGGGAGCGUCCACACCAGCACAACCACCCUUGUUAGAAGGAAAGGCUGGCCAGAGCUUUGAUUGCGACUGUGGGUCGCAGGUGAGGGUGCAGACCCUGAAGUGCGGAGCAGCCAAACCGGAUCCGAAUGCGUCACCGUGGGACGGUCUUCCCUGAACAACAGGACAGCACAAGCUUUCCACGACUGAGAACAUGUCUCUCGCGUGGGUGAACCUCAUCAUACAAACGAGCUGGCUGUACCUCUAUACUGGAGGAGACCUACCCAAGUGCCACCUCUGGCAAAGAAGGGACAUUAGUGGGGUACAGCUCGGUUGGGAUUCCCGUCAACGUAUAUUCACUCUGUCUCCUGGGGCUUCAGUAGGCAGUAGGCACAUGCGUUAUUUUAAGGGGCUCAAGGAAAUGGUGUCAGGAGGCCCACUUUGUAAGUACGUUUAUUAUUAUCUCCGCUGUUCAAGCCACACAAAAUUAAUGUCUGGCAUUUCCAGAAAUUGCUAUCGAUUCAGCAGCAGAUUUUACAAAGCCGAUCAAUAACAGUUUCCUCCCGCCCUCCUCCUCCCUCACUGGAUAUUUAUUUGUGACCAAGCUUUCGGCGGAUCCUCUGCUUUCUAGUGUUUAUAACUGGCAUAGAAUAAAUGGAAGAUUUCAUCUUUUUCCAGGAAGGAAAAAAAAAACAAAAGAAAGAGUAAGGACCUGGCUAUUAAAAAUGUCUCCCUCCACCACACCAAAGCAAAGCCGUGUGCAUCCGUGUGUGAAUAUAAGACAUAGAUAGCUAGGUGACAGGUGACAGAAAAUAGAUGUUCAGAUGGGCCUGGAGAUAAGUACAAGCCACAGUCAUCACCAUCGGCUCCUAAGUCAUGGCUUCUGAGCUCUCUCAACAUCCUACGCCACACCGAAGUUCCAGAAAGCCACACAGACCUUUGUGGUCACAGGAUAAGACCUAUUUCAUGAGUCUCAUUGAGUGAACAGAAUACCAUAUUUGCUACUCUGCCUCAGUACUGGAAAAGACCAUGUGACUAGUUCUAGCCAAAAGAUAGAAGUAGAUGUGACAUCAAACAAAGCCCAGAAAAGUGGAUGUGAUGGCUUGGAAGACGGACGCAGAAUUGAAGAACUGCCUUCAUCAGAUUGACUGUAGAUGUGUCUAGGGGGCAUUUUCUUAAUGACUAGUGGAUGUAAGAGGGCCCAGCCCAUGGAGGGCAGAACAGCCUUCAGGCGCGUGAGCCUGGGCUACACAAGAAAGGUAGCUGAAGAGGAACCUGGAAACAAGCCAGUAAGCAGCCUUCCUCCAUGGUUUCUGCCUCCGAUUCUGGCCUUGAGUUUCUGCUUUGGCUUCCUUCAACAGUGGACUGUAACCGAUUAAAGGAAAUAAGCCACUUGCUUCUCAGGUUACUUUUGGACGAGGUGUGUUUGUCACAGCAGCCGAAAGCUAACUAGAACGGGCAUCCUUUGUUGUGCAGGCCCUAGGAGCUAGGUGCUGAGAACUGGAGGUGCCAGUUAAAGUAGACAUUGUUGCUAGUUGAAGGGGGGCUACCUUGGAGAGCUGUGUAGUUCCCAGGGAAAUUUCUGUAAGAAAUUCUCCGAUAAUUCAGAACAAUCUAACCUAGCACUCUAGUCCAGUGGUUCUCCAUCUUCCUAAUGCUGCAAUCCUUUAAUACAGUUCCUCACACUGUGGUGACCCCUCAACCAUUGAAUUAUUUUUGUUGCUUCUUCAUAACUGUAAUUUUGCUACUGUUAUCAAUCGUAAUGUAAAUAUCUGUGCUUCCCUACCGUCAUAGGCAACCCACAGGCUGAGAACCACUGCUCCAGCCUAGGCCAACCUAAUGGUUUCUUACUGCUGGAGCCAUGUUUAAUUGGUUUGAUCUUUAAAUGCCAAUAAGCCAUUUGGAGACUAGUAAGUUGAAAUCUCCUCUGUGCAUAGUCAUUGGCAGAGCCACGCAGUGUAACUUAUGUCCACCCAAUCCACUUUGGACCCCAAGAUAAGGGCCAUGGCUUAUCCAUGGUCCUAAACGGUCUCCAGGGACAGAUUGGAAAAGGUGUUCUUUCUACUUUUUGGUACAACUGUUACUGCUAGAAAUCUCUUUCCUUGGGCCUCCUAAAAACAGCCUUUCUGUUGCUUACACCUAUUAACCUUCUCAGUUCGACCCUCCGGAGCUCUGAAACAACAAAAGACAAAUCCGACCUUCCCCUAAACUUCUCCAGGCUACUUUGAUCACAGUUCUUUCCAGAAGCCUCAUCAGUCAAGCCAUCUCUAACAAAUCAAAUCUCACCAGAAGGUGCCAAAGCGUUGUCCCAAUUGUUUCAUUGUGUGAGGAUUCUAUGGUGUAAAAAAAAUAUUUCAAGCGAACAGAAUUCCACGCCUGGCGCCCAACACCAUUGUAGAAAGGUUUGCUUUGCGGCAAUCUCCCUUUCCUCCAGGUUUAACUUCUUCAUUGUGCUGCUAAGUGCUUUGCCCAUGAGUGCAGGGUAAAAAGUUUUCCACCACUCUGACCUCAAAGAGAGAAGCCGGUGUCUGAGGGGCCGGCAAACAGACUGUGAUUGCCGCAUGAGGAGCUCUUUGCACAGGCUAAUGGGCCGUCUAACCUCUGCCCACAGCCGUCCCCUGUAGGGUCUUCUAAAUAGAUUGCCAAGGAGUUGUUGAUUUGGCGAAUCGAUUCACGAGGUUUUCUGGACUACUCAUUUCUGUGAAGGAUUGUUAGGGACUUUAACAACACAUGCAUGUGCUAGCACCUGGUGGGGCAUUCCUUAAGGGAAACAAGAGACCUGGGGGGCGCAACACUAAUGCAGACAAAUCUAUUCUCUCUUCCUAAUAGUUGGUCCCCUUCAUGUUUUAGCUGGAAAACUGUUAAGAUGUGUACAUACCGAGGCUUCUGAGGCUUCAAGUCUCCAUCUAUCAUUAUAGCUCUAGCAGGAGAAAUAACGUAAAAUUUUACUUUGCACAGCUAAAGCAAUCAAAUCAACAGAAAGGUUAAAAAAAUAAAAAAAAUUAAGCUUAA
Non-coding RNA from Myodes glareolus (Bank vole), 10060 nucleotides. NCBI's taxonomy places the organism in Eukaryota, Metazoa, Chordata, Mammalia, Rodentia, Cricetidae. The record is from RefSeq and is a predicted model, not a curated record.